UUUCGCUAUACAUUUCUAUACAAUGACAAAACGCAUCGCUUGCUGAAGCUCAAGAAGACGUGGACGUGGACGCGGGUGUCCCCGACGACGGGUUGAAGGCGGCCUGCUCCCCGCAGCUGAGCACCUCGUGCGGGCCGGCCUCCUCGCGGCCAACGCCCAUCAGGUCAAGGUAGUACUGGUAGUGGGAGACCAUGUUGUUCAUGUGCUCGUCGUCGCCCUUGCCGCAGACGUCGUCGCCAUAGAGGAUGUUCAUGGUGGCACCGAACCCGGGGACCCGCUUGGCCAGGGUGUCGUUCUUCGUGGGCUUCCAGUUGCCGACGAACACGUCGUGGGCCGACGGCUGGUGCUUCUUGUCCGGUGUCAUCCACCGCCAGAUCGCCGCCUGGAAGGCCAGCGUCGCGUUGUUCUCGAUGUGCUCCGGGUUGUUCAGCAGGUCCACCUUCAGGGCCUGCCCCGCUUUUCCGUAGUUGUAGUUCCUAAAACAUACGGCAAAAUCAGGCAAAAUAGAGCUCAACGCCUAAUCGAAUUCUCCAGGAUCCAACAUUGUAUUUUCCUGGCCUGGGCUCAGCGCAUCGAAAUAGAAACUAAUUGCAAAAGUGAAUUGUGGAAUUGAGAUCGACAGGGUGCCUGAAAGAUCGGAUCGUAAUUAUGCUUUGCUUUUAGUAAGUUAAAUAUGAUCGCUAGAAGUAAACUUAUGGGUAAAAUCUUCUCAAAAUAUAGAGAUUUCAAAUUUAGAUUAGUCUCAUUUUUAUAUUUCCUAAGUCACCCUGCCAUUUUUCCCUCACACUCAUUCAAAGAAAGCCAUUUACUUUCCUAACCUCCUCUUUUUAAUUAAUCUCCAAAAUUUCUUGUGCUUACCUAUUUCAUACAUAAUUACUCAUUUUCUUUCAAAGCAUGAUCACCUAAUUAUACACACCCACAAAGCGCGUGCUUCAACCCUAGUAUCACGUCAAUUGAAGAUCUGAUCGACAAGAUCUAUACAAUCACAUUGGUCAUAUGGUGUUAUCAAUUAAAGUUAGAAAUCUCUAACGAUUCUAACAAUUUUACAACUUAAUUAAGAUCAGUAUCAUGUCUUAAAAAAAAAACUUGGAUUGUGGGAUCAGAUUAUGUGAAUCCAAAUCGAGAAUAAUUUACCCACGGAUUCAGCUUGCCCAUCGUUCCGAAAGGCUUCAUCUCUCCAUUUAAGUCCGUCGCGAACUAACAACAACCAUGUGCGAAAAAAAGGUAAUAGGUCCAAUCUUUAGGCCCGACCUGCUCGACGAUCGCCUCUACUUUCGACAUCUUCCAUCUCGAACUUCAAUAAUUUAAUAUGCGAACGAUGAACUCAUGCGUCUAUAGAGCAAAAUUACCAGUAGAGGGGGAUGGCGCCACGGCCGUAGUAAGCAACGCCGGGAGUGCAUGGGUAGGUGUACUUGAAGGAAUCGUCGCAGUAGGACUGGCUCGGGCUCAUCUCCUUGUUGUAGCAGAGCCCCCACGCCAACGGCCCUCCGGUCGCCACUCCAUACCCGCCUGAAUUUCACGGCAAAAAUCGAGAUCAGAACACGUUUCGCUUGUGAGUGAAGUGAUCGAUGUGUGAAGUUCGGAGUCGGGUUUUCGCUUACAGGAUGUUUUGCUCCCAACGUGGCCGAGGAAGGCGGCGACCUCCUUCAUCGCGGUGACCUUCCCGCCGCUGGUCCCGAACCCAUGGGGCUGGUACUCCGCGGCUGCGGUGAUGAACGAGUGGUAGUCCCAGAAGCCGGCCGCGUGGGCCACGGGGGAGUUCCUCUUGGAGAAGAGGUUCUCGAACUGGUACGCCUGGAAGUAGUCGGAGAUGGUCUGGUUGCAGCAGUACUGCGACAGCUUUUUACACUCCCACCCCUUGGUGCACAACUUCUUGCCCUUCACUAUCUUCACCACCGGCUUCACCGACCCUGUGUCAUCGUCGUCCCCGCUCACAACGAGGGGCGACAGCAGCAGCGUCGCCGCGAGCACUGCCACCAGAAGCGAUUGCUUGAUGCCCUCCAUUGCUCUUGCGAAAAC
Molecule: long non-coding RNA, 2019 nt
Filed under: Eucalyptus grandis
Lineage: Eukaryota; Viridiplantae; Streptophyta; Magnoliopsida; Myrtales; Myrtaceae
Description: long non-coding RNA (EGRA_LNC005217)
Source: RNAcentral